UAAAAGGAAAAGCAGGUGAAAG
This 22-nucleotide non-coding RNA is filed under the name Rattus norvegicus (Norway rat). The record is from RNAcentral. Lineage: Eukaryota; Metazoa; Chordata; Mammalia; Rodentia; Muridae.